Molecule: ribosomal RNA, 468 nt
Filed under: uncultured bacterium
Lineage: Bacteria
Description: partial 16S ribosomal RNA
Rfam family: Bacterial small subunit ribosomal RNA
Source: RNAcentral
GACGAACGCUGGCGGCGUGCUUAACACAUGCAAGUCGAACGGUAAGACCCUGCUUUUUUCUGUUUCUCUAGUGGCUAACGGGUGAGUAACACUUGAGUAACCUACCCUUUACUUUGGGAUGACUUCAGGUAACUGGGGCUACUACCGCCUAGUAGCUCCUGCUGCAUGGUGGGGGUUGGACAGUUUCGGCGGUUGGUGAUGUAUUCGCGGCUUAUCAGCUUGUUGGUGGGGUAGUGGCUUACCCAGGCUUUGACGGAUAGCCGUCCUGAGAGGGUGAACGGCGACAUGGGGACUAAGAGAGGGAGCAGACGCGAACGGUAGGCAGCAGGGGGGAAUAUUGAGCAAUGGGCGGAAGCCUAAUGCAGAAACGCCGGGGGCGGGAUGAAGGCCUUCGGGUGGGAAACGGAGUUAGCCUGUAACGAAGCGUGAGUGACGGUAAUGGGAAAAGAAGCACCGGCUAACUACGUG